UACAGAGGUCUCAAGCGUUGUUCGGAUUCAUUGGGCGUAAAGGGCGCGUAGGCGGCGGGGUAAGUCGGGUGUGAAAUCUCAGAGCUCAACUCUGAAAUGGCACUUGAUACUGCUCUGCUAGAGGAGUGGAGAGGAGAUUGGAAUUCACGGUGUAGCAGUGAAAUGCGUAGAUAUCGGGAGGAAGACCGGUGGCGAAGGCGGAUCUCUGGACAGUACCUGACGCUGAGGCGCGAAGGCCAGGGGAGCAAACGGG
Molecule: ribosomal RNA, 253 nt
Filed under: uncultured bacterium
Lineage: Bacteria
Description: partial 16S ribosomal RNA
Rfam family: Bacterial small subunit ribosomal RNA
Source: RNAcentral